Ruditapes philippinarum (Manila clam) is the source of this 2005-nucleotide RNA transcript. RefSeq lists it as uncharacterized. NCBI's taxonomy places the organism in Eukaryota, Metazoa, Mollusca, Bivalvia, Venerida, Veneridae. The transcript has 3 exons. The record is from RefSeq and is a predicted model, not a curated record.
ACGGAAGCCCAUAAGUGCCAUUUUGUCUUAGGACUUUUGUCUUAUGACUAAUGACUUGUGUAUUAUGACUUUUGUCUUAUGUAUUAUGACUUGACAAAAAAGCGGAAAAAGGGCAAGUUUCAUCACAUGCACCCUUCAUGGACGUUGGAGGUAAAUCUGAUAGUGAAACAGAAGACGAUUUGGUAAAUGCGAGUAGUAAACAAUGCGAGUAGUAAACGUAUUCAUGCACUAGUUCAGAACAUAGCAGGCCACUAAGAAGAAAAAAGACCCAGGAACAUUGAAAAAGAUUAACUUAUGGAGAUCCAUUGAUGGUAAACAUGUUGGACAUUCAUCUUCUACCUGUGACUCUCUUUACAAAGGAAAAUACAAGAAAUUGAUUUAUGAUUUAUCAGACAAGUACAAAGGCAAAUGUGCCGAAUGAUGAUAUUUUAUCAAAUUGCAGAGUACAGUAGGAGAACAAAAAGUAACAAAGAAGACUGCUUUGAUAUCACAAGUGAAUAUGUUGGCGUUCCAUAGCUUUUGGUUUUGUCUUUGGAUACAACAGGUUAACUCUGUAUUAGGAGUGACACCUUCAAACAUACCAGACACAUCGACAGCAGGAAGUACACGGCUUGAAUUAGUGAAACACUAUUUUUACUGUGGGUUUUCAUAUCCGGAAAUUAUUCUUUUGUUGUUUGUUAUAAAUAACAUUAAAAUAUCGUUGCGACAGCUUAAUAGAGUACUUAAAUGUAACAACUUACGACGUCGAACUGGAUACACACCAGAUCACAUUGUUCUUGAUUAUAUUUCCAAGGAAAUUGAGACAAGUGGUCAGUGCAUUGGUUAUCGUUCGAUGUGGAAACGCUUGACAAAUGAACAUAAAUUAAGAGUUCCUAGAAAUAAAGUUCUUUCAUUUAUGAAAACUAUUGAUCCUGACGGAAUUAAUUUUCGGAAAGCCCACAGAAUUAAAAGACGCAAGUACAGAAUAAAGGGGCCAAAUUAUGUAUGGCACGUAGACGGUUACGAUAAACUGAAACCAUAUGGCUUUUGUAUACACGGUGCUAUUGAUGGUUACAGUAGAAGGAUACUUUGGCUAGAAGUGUCACAAAGUAACAACAACCCUGCAGUCAUCGCUAUGUAUUAUCUUGAAGCGCUGAAGACGCUUCGGGUUGUUCCCCGAAUUCUUCGUUGUGAUAAGGGAACGGAAAAUUCAACUCUGUCUUUGCUCCAACCGUUCUUCCGGUACAAUGAUACAGAUAGUAUAUCGAGACUUAGAAGUUUUAUAUACGGAAAAACGUUUCAAAUCAACGAAUAGAGGCCUGGUGGGGAACUAUGAGACGCCAAGGAAUUCAAUGGUGGAUUUCCUUUUUCAAAGAUUUAAAGGACAAUCAAGAGUAUGAUGAAUUAAAUCCUUUACAUGUUGAAUGCUUGAAAUUCUCUUUUAUGCACUUGAUUCAGGCCGAGCUUGACAGAAUAGCGGUUAAUUGGAACUUACAUUCCAUACGUAAACAGAAAUUCUGAGGUACCAAAUGGAAAACCCGAUUUAAUGUACUUCGUUCCGGAAUUGUUUGGCGGACACAAUUAUGGAAAGAUUGUAGAUCAAAAUGAUGUUGUGAAAUGUACGGCUUACGUAGGACAACAUGCAUUAUAGAAUUUCAAGAUUUGGUAAAAUUACUAAAGCCUGACAUCCGCAUUCCCAAGGAUGUACAAGAUGCUCUAGAACUAUACAGGGAACUACUGGAACUUAUUGAUGAAGCCAUGGAAUAAUUUCUCUCAUAUAUGUGCUCUGAAUAAAUUCUCUUCAAGUAUCAGAUAUUUAAUAUAAUUCAUUAAGAUCGUUUGCGGAACAAGUUCUUGCCAAGGUUUUUUUUAAUCAAAACCCUAGAACCAACCAGUACUGGUGUCAUAUGAAGAAACAUGGAGAUGGCUCGAGUAGGACUCGAACCCAUAGUCCUUAGGUUGAGGGGCAGACACAUUAACCAAGAGGCCACCGCUCCUCUUUCCCCUUGUUUAAAAGAAAUGGAUU